AUUGCCUUGGAUACAACAGAGCUCUAUUAGAAAGAACCCAAAGGCCGAGGAAAGCAGUAGAGAUUGAGAGAAAAGCCCGUUGAACAAAUGGAGAGGAUGAUGGUAAUUCCUCUGUGACAGUGUAGAAGGGGAGAUAUCUACCACAGACGUAGCUAGAUCCAAGGUGAUACACUUGAUUCCAGGAUAAAGGCACUCGGGGGCUGAUUCAGAAUACCAUAUCCGGAGGUCCCAGUAGGUUUCUGUCCGGUUUUAUGCACUGCUUGCACCGCUAGAGGAACAGAGUGGCCAAGAGGCCAUGCUGCUUCUCAAUGGAUCCGCCAUUUUUCACCCAUCACCUCAUCAGGUGAUCACCCAGCCAGCCACGAUGUCAGAAUUGAUACCCAAGCAUUUUCUGUCACGUGACUCCAGUUCUCCCUUGGAUGGGAAGCAGUGUGGAAAAAUAACUCUGCUUUCAUAACAUGGGUCUUCUCUGAGGGCCCGAUUUUGGAACAAAUAAUUAAAAACAAAUAUACAAUCACAGA
Long non-coding RNA from Ornithorhynchus anatinus (platypus), 521 nucleotides. RefSeq lists it as uncharacterized. NCBI's taxonomy places the organism in Eukaryota, Metazoa, Chordata, Mammalia, Monotremata, Ornithorhynchidae. The record is from RefSeq and is a predicted model, not a curated record. The transcript has 3 exons.